GUCCCCUUNNNUCUAGAGGCCUAGGACACCGCCCUUUCACGGCGGUAACAGGGGUUCGAAUCCCCUAGGGGACGCCA
This 77-nucleotide transfer RNA is filed under the name Serratia marcescens. Its description in RNAcentral is "tRNA-Glu". It matches the Rfam family "tRNA". From Rfam's summary of the family: Transfer RNA (tRNA) molecules are approximately 80 nucleotides in length. Lineage: Bacteria; Pseudomonadati; Pseudomonadota; Gammaproteobacteria; Enterobacterales; Yersiniaceae. The record is from RNAcentral.